GGUAUGACUGCUUGCAGUGAGGCUGUUGGAGUUUGACUAAUACAUAAAUAUGAUCUCAAUGAGCUCUUGUAGUGGAUGUUGAUGAUAGUUGAUCCACUGUAGGAGUAGGAUACACAUCAAGAUGGAAUCUAUCGAUCUUAAUAGAAAGGAGUAGUUCUAUUGGAUUUGAGAUGCUAAGUUUGAAAGUCUGUGGCCAUAGCAAUAUGAUUGAUGAAAAAAAAUUUUUAUAAAGAUCACUAUUGAACUUGAGCUGAUCGAAUCUAUCAUAUGACUGAUGAUGAGGU
Molecule: long non-coding RNA, 284 nt
Filed under: Elaeis guineensis (African oil palm)
Lineage: Eukaryota; Viridiplantae; Streptophyta; Magnoliopsida; Arecales; Arecaceae
Description: long non-coding RNA (EGUI_LNC063960)
Source: RNAcentral